Molecule: unclassified non-coding RNA, 399 nt
Filed under: soil metagenome
Description: partial contains 5.8S ribosomal RNA, internal transcribed spacer 2, and large subunit ribosomal RNA
Rfam family: 5.8S ribosomal RNA (bases 1-122)
Source: RNAcentral
GAUGAAGAACGUAGCGAAAUGCGAUACUUGGUGUGAAUUGCAGAAUCCCGUGAACCAUCGAGUCUUUGAACGCAAGUUGCGCCUCAAGCCAUUAGGUUGAGGGCACGUCUGCCUGGGCGUCACAUAUCGUUGCCUGAUGCCAGUUUCCUCGUGAUGGGUGACUGUGCAGGGCGAAUGAUGGCUUCCCGUGAGCAUUGUUGCCUCAUGGUUGGUUGAAAAUUGAGUCCUUGGUAGGGAGCGCCGUGAUAGAUGGUGGUUGAGUGACGAACGAGACCCAAUCAUGUGAGACCCCUACCGAAUUUGGCCUUCAUGACCCACACGCGUCUUUUGACGCUCAUGACGAGACCUCAGGUCAGGCGGGGCUACCCGCUGAAUUUAAGCAUAUCAAUAAGCGGAGGA